CGGGACGGGGUGGAGUAAUGUCUGGGAAACUGCCUGAUGGAGGGGGGUAACUACUGGAAACGGUAGCUAAUACCGCAUAACGUCGCAAGACCAAAGAGGGGGACCUCGGGCCUCUUGCCAUCGGAUGUGCCCAGAUGGGAUUAGCUAGUAGGUGGGGUAACGGCUCACCUAGGCGACGAUCCCUAGCUGGUCUGAGAGGAUGACCAGCCACACUGGAACUGAGACACGGUCCAG
Molecule: ribosomal RNA, 234 nt
Filed under: uncultured bacterium
Lineage: Bacteria
Description: partial 16S ribosomal RNA
Rfam family: Bacterial small subunit ribosomal RNA
Source: RNAcentral